This 253-nucleotide ribosomal RNA is filed under the name uncultured bacterium. RNAcentral describes it as "partial 16S ribosomal RNA". It matches the Rfam family "Bacterial small subunit ribosomal RNA", at positions 524 to 776 of the family's 1533-position model. The record is from RNAcentral.
UACGUAGGGGGCAAGCGUUGUCCGGAUUUACUGGGCGUAAAGAGCGUGUAGGCGGCCAGGUAGGUCGGUUGUGAAAACUGGAGGCUCAACCUUCAGAGGUCGACCGAAACCAUCUGGCUAGAGUCCGGGAGAGGAGAGUGGAAUUCCUGGUGUAGCGGUGAAAUGCGCAGAUAUCAGGAAGAACACCCGUGGCGAAAGCGGCUCUCUGGAACGGUACUGACGCUGAGACGCGAAAGCGUGGGGAGCGAACAGG